CGAAAUGCAUUUAGGUGCAGCGUCGUAUUAUAGCUUGGUGGAGGUAGAGCGACUGGUUGGUUGAGCGGGACUACAAUCUUAGCAAUGUCAGCCAAACUCCGAAUGCCACUAAUUGUGUUGUACGGCAGUGAGACUGUGGGGGAUAAGCUUCAUAGUCGAGAGGGAAACAGCCCAGAUCGCCGGUUAAGGCCCCUAAGGGUGUGCUAAGUGGAAAAGGAUGUGGGAUCGCGAAGACAGCCAGGAGGUUGGCUUAGAAGCAGCCAUCCUUGAAAGAGUGCGUAAUAGCUCACUGGUCGAGUGGUUCUGCGCCGACAAUGUAGUGGGGCUCAAGUACACCGCCGAAGCCGCGGCAAACUUUUUUGUUUGGGUAGGGGAGCGUCGUGUGUGGGGUGAAGCCGUAUCGGAAGGAGCGGUGGACUGCAUGCGAGUGAGAAUGCAGGCAUGAGUAACGAAUGGCAAGUGAGAAUCUUGCCCGCCGGAUGACUAAGGGUUCCUGGGUCAAGUUCGUCUUCCCAGGGUGAGUCGGGACCUAAGGCGAGGCCGACAGGCGUAGUCGAUGGACAACGGGUUGAUAUUCCCGUACCAGUG
This 588-nucleotide ribosomal RNA is filed under the name Leptocylindrus danicus. Its description in RNAcentral is "partial Bacterial large subunit ribosomal RNA". It matches the Rfam family "Bacterial large subunit ribosomal RNA", at positions 860 to 1449 of the family's 2925-position model. The record is from RNAcentral. Lineage: Eukaryota; Bacillariophyta; Leptocylindrophyceae; Leptocylindrales; Leptocylindraceae.